UAAGUAUAAAUAGUAUACAGUGUAACUGCAAAUGGCUCAUUAAAACAGUUAUAGUUUAUUUGAUAAUUGAAGGCUACAUGGAUAACCGUGGUAAUUCUAGAGCUAAUACAUGCUAUCAGGCCCAACUUCGCAGAAGGGUUGUAUUUAUUAGAUAUAAGCCAAUAUUCCUUCGGGUCUAUUGCGGUGAUUCACAAUAACUGAUCGAAUCUCUUUUAGAGAUAAAUCAUUCAAGUUUCUGCCCUAUCAGCUUUCGAUGCUUAGGUAUUGACUAAAGCAUGGCUUUAACGGGUAACGGAGAUUCAGGGUUCGAUUCCGGAGAGGGAGCCUGAGAAACGGCUACCACAUCUAAGGAAGGCAGCAGGCGCGUAAAUUACCCAAUCCUGAUUAAGGGAGGUAGUGACAAGAAAUAACAAACAGGGGAUUUUUUAAAUCUUACUGUAUUGCAAUGAGGAAAAUUUAAAAACCUUAUCGAGAAACAAGUGGAGGGC
RNAcentral lists this ribosomal RNA (488 nucleotides) under uncultured eukaryote. Its description in RNAcentral is "SSU rRNA". It matches the Rfam family "Eukaryotic small subunit ribosomal RNA", at positions 60 to 556 of the family's 1831-position model. The record is from RNAcentral.